RNAcentral lists this non-coding RNA (118 nucleotides) under Palpitomonas bilix. The record is from RNAcentral.
AACAACGAAAAAAGAGAGAAAUUAGAGGAACGGAGAGAAGGGUGGUUCGAUAUUCAAGUAUUGUUUUUCUUUUACUUCGUUCACAUUCUUUAUUUCACAUUCUUACCCUUUAUUUUCA